GUAGGUGGCAAGCGUUGUCCGGAAUUAUUGGGCGUAAAGCGCGCGCAGGCGGGGUCCUUUAAGUCUGAUGUGAAAAGCCCACGGGCUCAACCGUGGAGGGUCAUUGGAAACUGGGGGACUUGAGUACAGAAGAGGAAAGCGGAAUUCCAAGUGUAGCGGUGAAAUGCGUAGAGAUUUGGAGGAACACCAGUGGCGAAGGCGGCUUUCUGGUCUGUAACUGACGCUGAGGCGCGAAAGCGUGGGGAGCAAACAGGAUUAGAUACCCUGGUAGUCCACGCCGUAAACGAUGAGUGCUAAGUGUUAGGGGGUUUCCGCCCCUUAGUGCUGCAGCUAACGCAUUAAGCACUCCGCCUGGGGAGUACGGCCGCAAAGGCUG
This 376-nucleotide ribosomal RNA is filed under the name uncultured organism. RNAcentral describes it as "partial 16S ribosomal RNA". It matches the Rfam family "Bacterial small subunit ribosomal RNA", at positions 527 to 896 of the family's 1533-position model. The record is from RNAcentral.